UGUUGCGGGGAAACAGGACUGUUACUUUGAAAAAAUUAAAGUGUUUAAAGCAGGCCCGCGCCUGAAUACCUUAACAUGGAAUAAUGAAAUAGGACGUUCGAACCUAUUUUGUUGGUUUCUAGGAUUGACGUAAUGAUUAAUAGGGAUAGUUGGGGGCAUUAAUAUUCAAUUGUCAGAGGUGAAAUUCUUGGAUUUAUUGAAGACUAACUACUGCGAAAGCAUUUGCCAAGGAUGUUUUCAUUAAUCAAGAACAAAAGUUAGGGGAUCGAAAACAAUCAAAUACCGUCGUAGUCUUAACCAUAACCUAUCCCAAGAAGGGAUCGAAUGAUU
This 330-nucleotide ribosomal RNA is filed under the name uncultured Glomeromycotina. RNAcentral describes it as "SSU rRNA". It matches the Rfam family "Eukaryotic small subunit ribosomal RNA", at positions 731 to 1062 of the family's 1831-position model. The record is from RNAcentral. Lineage: Eukaryota; Fungi; Glomeromycota.